CAUUAAGAAUGCAGAUCUUAUAGCGCUUCCC
This 31-nucleotide non-coding RNA is filed under the name Mus musculus (house mouse). The record is from RNAcentral. Lineage: Eukaryota; Metazoa; Chordata; Mammalia; Rodentia; Muridae.